This 433-nucleotide ribosomal RNA is filed under the name uncultured bacterium. RNAcentral describes it as "partial 16S ribosomal RNA". It matches the Rfam family "Bacterial small subunit ribosomal RNA", at positions 29 to 507 of the family's 1533-position model. The record is from RNAcentral.
AACGAACGCUGGCGGCAUGCCUAACACAUGCCAGUCGAACGAGACCUUCGGGUCUAGUGGCGCACGGGUGCGUAACGCGUGGGAACCUGCCCUUAGGUUCGGAAUAACUCCCCGAAAGGGGUGCUAAUACCGGAUAAUGUCUUCGGACCAAAGAUUUAUCGCCUUUGGAUGGGCCCGCGUUGGAUUAGCUAGUUGGUAGGGUAAAAGCCUACCAAGGCGACGAUCCAUAGCUGGUCUGAGAGGAUGAUCAGCCACACUGGGACUGAGACACGGCCCAGACUCCUACGGGAGGCAGCAGUGGGGAAUAUUGGACAAUGGGCGAAAGCCUGAUCCAGCACUGCCGCGUGAGUGAUGAAGGCCUUAGGGUUGUAAAGCUCUUUUACCCGGGAUGAUAAUGACAGUACCGGGAGAAUAAGCUCCGGCUAACUCCGUG